This 396-nucleotide long non-coding RNA is filed under the name Cicer arietinum (chickpea). Its description in RNAcentral is "long non-coding RNA (CARI_LNC000397)". Lineage: Eukaryota; Viridiplantae; Streptophyta; Magnoliopsida; Fabales; Fabaceae. The record is from RNAcentral.
GCCACUGUAUUUACUUUGAAAAAUACAUUGAGUUAUAAUGGAAAGUUCAUUGAAAAUGGCAUUGAAGUUUGUUGUGUUUUUUGUUGCUAUUGCAACAAUCCUAAUGGGAAGUGCACAUGCCACAAGAUCAAUUAAUAUUGACCCUGAAACUGCAUAUCCUGAUUGCAUCCCAAAUUGCUUCUUUCACCCAAGAUGCUGUGCACCUAUUGAUCUCACAUCACCCUAAAAUUUUAGGGUUAGUUUUACACUAAUAAUACUCUUGGAUUUGAGAAUAAAGAUCCAUUUCAUAUGUAAUGAUUGAAUAUAUAAGAUUAAAAAUGAAAAAUGAUUAUUCAUUUUUCUCUAUUUUUAUUUGAACUUUGCACAAUAUGUAAUAAGAUAUUUAUAUGAUUAAAG